RNAcentral lists this ribosomal RNA (253 nucleotides) under uncultured bacterium. Its description in RNAcentral is "partial 16S ribosomal RNA". It matches the Rfam family "Bacterial small subunit ribosomal RNA", at positions 524 to 776 of the family's 1533-position model. The record is from RNAcentral.
UACAGAGGUGGCAAGCGUUGUUCGGAAUUACUGGGCGUAAAGGGCGCGUAGGCGGCUUGGUCAGUCCCGUGUGAAAUCCCUCGGCUCAACUGAGGAACUGCACGGGAAACUGCCUGGCUUGAGUUCGGGAGAGGGAAGCGGAAUUCCGGGUGUAGCGGUGAAAUGCGUAGAUAUCAGGAGGAACACCGGUGGCGAAGGCGGGUCUCUGGGCCGAUAUCGACGCUGAGGAGCGAAAGCCAGGGGAGCAAACGGG